Molecule: non-coding RNA, 785 nt
Filed under: Perkinsus marinus ATCC 50983
Lineage: Eukaryota; Perkinsozoa; Perkinsida; Perkinsidae
Description: Eukaryotic small subunit ribosomal RNA
Rfam family: Eukaryotic small subunit ribosomal RNA
Source: Rfam by way of RNAcentral
CACCUGGUUGAUCCUGCCAGUAGUCAUAUGCUUGUCUCAAAGAUUAAGCCAUGCAUGUCUAAGUAUAAGCUUUAAACGGCGAAACUGCGAAUGGCUCAUUAAAACAGUUAUAGUUUAUUUGGUGAUCGAUUACUAUUUGGAUAACCGUAGUAAUUCUAGAGCUAAUACAUGCGUCAAGGCCCGACUUCGGAAGGGCUGCGUUUAUUAGAUACAGAACCAACCUAGGCUCCGCCUAGUCCUUGUUGGUGAUUCAUAAUAACCCGGCGAAUCGCACGGCUUGUCCGGCGAUGGACCAUUCAAGUUUCUGACCUAUCAGCUAUGGACGGUAGGGUAUUGGCCUACCGUGGCGUUGACGGGUAACGGGGAAUUAGGGUUCGAUUCCGGAGAGGGAGCCUGAGAAACGGCUACCACAUCUAAGGAAGGCAGCAGGCGCGCAAAUUACCCAAUCCUGAUACAGGGAGGUAGUGACAAGAAAUAACAAUACAGGGCAAUUCUGUCUUGUAAUUGGAAUGAGUAGAUUUUAAAUCUCUUUACGAGUAUCAAUUGGAGGGCAAGUCUGGUGCCAGCAGCCGCGGUAAUUCCAGCUCCAAUAGCGUAUAUUAAAGUUGUUGCGGUUAAAAAGCUCGUAGUUGGAUUUCUGCCUUGGGCGACCGAUCCACCUUUCCUACGGGAUUGGUUGGUAUCAGGUUUGACCUUGGCUUUUUCUUGGGAUUCGUGCUCACGUACUUAACUGUGCGUUGACCGUGUUCCAAGACUUUUACUUUGAGGAAAUUAGAGUGUUCAAG